Molecule: non-coding RNA, 5798 nt
Organism: Oryctolagus cuniculus (rabbit)
Lineage: Eukaryota; Metazoa; Chordata; Mammalia; Lagomorpha; Leporidae
Source: RefSeq, a predicted model, not a curated record
CUCACCUCCCACACGUUUCCAGGACCUGGCCUGCUCUGCAAUCAACUGCUCACUGUUGCCUACGUCUCCGGGCUUUUUUGUCCGGGGAGCUGCUGGGCAAACAGCCUGGUUGUCAAGCCAGUGCUGCAAUGGAGAACCCUGCAAUAGCAACAUCCCCCCUCCAACCCCAGACGUUCCGACUGAAGGGACCGGCAACACACAGUGCCCUGGUUGUAUAGGGGUUAACGACACCUCCUGUGAGGAGAGUUUCGUGAGGUGUAACCCAGACGAACGGUGCGUCGAUGGGCUUGCAGAAGUCGUGCAAGGGACCAGAGACACGGAGAACUUCACGAACUUCACGCUGCGGGUCAAAGGCUGCUCCGACAUCACCGACGACCUCUGCGGGCUCCUGGCGACACAGAACACCACGAUAGGGAACAUCGUCUUCCGGCAGCUCAGCUGCAGCAAGGCCCGCCCAGAUCCCUGAGAACACGAACUCGGGCGGGGCCCUGGCCGCCACCCCCUGGGCCCUCACCGCCGGCGUCGCGCUGGCACUGCUGCGGCUGCUCUGAGCCCCGCCCCGCCAGGCCACGCCCCUCAAGCACCGGCACCACCCCCAGCUCCGCCCCGCCAGGCCCAGUCCCCGCCCCCAGAUCCGCCCUGUCCCCGACCCCAACCCUCUGGAACCGCGGCCAAGAUGCGCCGACCCGGGCGUCCGCCGCAACUGCGUGUGUCCAGCGGGCCUGGCCACGGCGAACGAAGGAGCAGCGCGUCCCCCGCCUGUGUCCCGGAGCCCUGGGUCCAGGCCGGGCGGCCGGCGGGCGUGAGGACCAGGGGCCCCGCGCGCACGGGUGCGGCCUCCACGGAACAGGUUCUCUGCCAUUAAUAAAAGCCGCGGGCGCGACCCUGCGUGGCUGUUGUCCUGCUCCUCUGCUCGGGGUCACCUCUGUGUGUCCACCCCGGGCCGCCCACAGCCCGGCUCCCGGCUCCCGGAUCCACACCGCAGCUGGGAACCUGAUGGCCCUCAGUGGGGGGACCUGCGGGAGUGUCCCCAAGUGGGCCGGAGGCUCAGGACGCUUUCCUGAAGGGUCAAGAGCCUGGGCCGUGUUUCUCACCAUAUCAUUCUUAUCUUAAAAUAAUAAGUCUUGCGGAGGGAGAGCUAGAGAGGAAGAGAAAGAGAGAGAGAGGGAGGAAGCUUUUGUCUGCUGGUUUAGUGGCCAGUGGCCAAAAUGCCAGGGCUGCACCAGGCUGCCCCAAGCCAGGAGCCUGGAGCUUCAUCCAGGUCUACACAUGGGUGCAGGGGCUGAAACACCUGGGCCAUCCCCCGCUGCUUCCCCAGGUGCAUUAGCAGGGAGCUGGAUUGGAAGUGGAGCAGCCAGGACUAGAACAGUGUCCAUGCGGGGUGCUGGUGCUGCAGGCGGUGGGUCUACCUGCUAUGGCACAGCGCCGGCCCUGAGGUUCUGAUUUAACAAACAGAGCUUGGUUAGAAGAAGGCGCAGGGUGGACGUCCACGCCUGUGAGUUGGCCUCUGCCCCAGCAGCUCCUCCCAUCCCAGGGCCCCCGGGGGAGGGUCGUGUGUGGAGCCUGGGGGCCAGGCCAGGGGAAGGGCUGUCCCUCGUGCUCACAGGGCGCUGGCCAGGGCUCAGCACCGUAUCUUGGGAGGAGGAAACUCAUCCCUGGGCGGCUCCACAGGCCCUGUCUUGGAGACAGUGUGGCCAGGGGUCAGGUCGAAUCCCAGCCCCAGAACCUUGGCCCACCUGUGGGACAGGUGUGGUCAGGAUCACACCCCAGAGGGUUGUGAGGGUGUCAGCCAGUCUCCCUGGGAGGCACUCAGCUGCCCCUGUGCCCCACCCCCACACCUGCCCCCCUUGCUCCUGUUCCUGCUGGCAGCUCCCACCCUAUUCACCUCCCUUUUCUGGCCCUGGCCUGCAGAGGUGGGCUGAUCUCUGCUGGGGCCCCUGCUUCUCAGCCCAUCUCUCCAACGGUACUGCUACCUGGGUGGGGGAGGGGUCCUGGCCACGUUUUGCAGUCUAGAAACUCCCAGGCUGGGCUUAGGCAGAGUUGGGGACCCUGGGUCCAGGCAGGAGAGGCCGUGAGCUGGGACACAGUUCUCUGAAGCUGGAGAAGGCACACGUUGGAUCCCGUGGUUCCAGGGAGCAGGUGCCCCGAGCCCUCCUGGGAGUGAGUUCAUGGAGGUCAGGUGCGGGCUCCAGUCCAGGAACUGGGGAGAGAGCGGCCAUGUGGUCCCUGGUGCCGGUGGCUCUCAGUGGAUCACUCCCAUUAGCAGUUUGUUUUGGUCAGGGGAGGGAGGUCUGCUUCCCGACCCCUCAAAGCUGUCUGUGUUCAUGGAGCCACACGUGAGGUCAGCACGGCCAUGUCCUCAAACCAUCAUCACGUGUGGGGGAACCACCCCAGCCACUCCCCCCACUCACUCCCUGCCACCCGCCUCUCCCCGUCCCAGCCUCUGCUGGCAGCAGUGAGAACAAGGGUGGCGUGGGGCUCCCCAACCCUCACUGUCCACGCUGGCCCCACGCCUGGAGACGGGAGUCCCAUGUGAGGGAAACGGGCUGGUGGCUUUGGGCAGCACGGAGCGGGGACGCUCUCUGCAGAGACUCGCACAGUCUCCCAUUCUCCUGGCCCUGGACAAAACCCCUGUUCCCACAGACUGGGCCUGGUAGGGACACCGUGCACUGCCCUGUUGUGGAGACAUUCGCCAGGAAGGGUGGGUCUGUGAGAGGGACAGGGAGUUGAGGCAGGCGCAUCAGGUCAGGCCCCACCCCCGUGUGACUUGGGUGGAGCAGUGUCCCGUGGGAGGCUGGCUUUGGUCCGUGCUUUCCUCUCCCAGCUCCUUCUCCCGGUACCCCAGCUCAGCAAGCUGGGGCCUGCACAGGUGGGGGCCUGCCAAGGGUGGGAGCAGAGGUGCUACAUCCCCCCGCCCCAGGGAAGGCCAGGAGGGAGAGUGGGCCUGGGCCCUCUGCUUCCCUGGUUGGGAUCAGUGUGGUGGCGGCCCCUCCCUCCCCAUCGGAGUUCCUGAUUCAGAACCUCUAGCCCUGGGGGGGGGUGGUGGUGGUGGUGGUGGUGGUGGUUGUGGUCUGUGGGCUUCAGGGUGGGAUGAGGGACGUCACAGGGCCAGGAGGAACUCGGCCUCUCAGUGAGUGUGGUGGCCUGGGAGUCUGCACUUGGCCAUGCUUCCUCCUCCAGGGUCGGCCUUGGGUGCCCGAACCCCGACCUUGGUUCUGCUGCUGCUGGGAGUGGACCCCGCCACCCAUCUUCCUGCCUUCAGGACUUCCUCUGGUUCUUUGUUUACUUGGACUCUGGGGGCCUCAUUUGCAUCCCCGAGUCCCUCUUUCCCACUUCCACGUUUUCUUCCUCUCUGAAUCGUUUUUCGUUGUUGGCACUGAGAAGUUUCUUUUUUUUAUUUCUGCCAUAAACUAGUGAGUAGCUUUCUGCCUGGAUGCACCAGCUUCUGCCUGUCUGCGUAUUGAUUUAAGUUGCUGUCCAGGACCAGGCAAAGGAUUCUCUCCCCAGCCCCACGCCCUUGAGGCCAGAGUGCUGUAGGGAGCCGGGAAGGCCGCACUGGCCUGAGCUCCCACCGCUCGGUCAGCUCCCGGCCGGGCGUCUGUGCUCUGUCCGAGGCUCGCUCCCCACACUGAGGGCCCCUGGGGGCUGGGCCACACGGGCGGUCUGUUGUCCCGGGUGCUCUGUCUGGGCACUGCAGUUUCUGGAUGCUGUCCAGCUGGGCCGCCUCCCAGAGUCGCCCACUGUGGACACCUUCCUGCCACGUUGCUCUCUUCACCUCCCAUCUCUGCACCGUGUGCGGGCCCUGCCCACUCUGCUGUCAGCUGCGUGGGACCCAGGGCGUGGUUUCUCGGCCUCUCUGUGCUGUGGGCACUGGGUUAGCUGCAGUAUUUUGCAUUCACAAACAACGCUUCCACAGGUAGAGUGAGCACCCCGCUUUCAUGCUGUUGGCCAUGUGGUUGCUUCUCUGAGCCAUUCCUGGGCCAGACUGGGUGAAUCCUGGCGGGGCUCUGCUGGGGCUCCCGGACCGCGCUGUGGGGGUGGUGUGACCUGCAUUUACAGGCGGGCCUGUUUCCUGAUGCCCCGCCACACCCCGCACUGUUUUCUAUGUUUGACGUCUGCUAAUCUGAUUGGUUAGAAGUAGUGUUUCAGUGGUGUUAAUUUACAUUGCUCCAAUGAUGGAGUUUGAACAUUUGUCUUAUGUUUAAAGCAAAUUAUAUAUAUACAUAUAUAAUCAAUCAAUCAAUCUUAAAUGGCUUUCUGUCUCCUUCUGUGGAGAAUCCCCCAGGAAUCUCAAAAAGAAUCAGGGAUCACCGCCUACCUGGAAAGGAGAUGAACUGUGGAAACACAGUAAAACACUGAGUUAAGAAGUUACCACUAGCCACAAAAAUAAAAGUAAGUGGAGUUGUAAGUCAGGAGCUGAGGCAAUGCCUAACGGCUGUUAGGGAGACACUCCUAAUCACACCAAGCAGACAACUCUGGUCAGUCAGAUAACAGUGUGCUGUGGACAAUGCCCCCCUACCCACGCUGACGGACCAUUCAAACCUAAGUAAGGCGGGAGCAGUAUUGACUGGACUGUCCAACUGCAAGCAAGGAGGAAACAGCGUUGACUGGACAACAAGUCGGAAGACGGCAAGCUGGAGGACUCCUGGAGAAUGAGGAUAAAAAGGGAGCCCUGGCACCACUCUCCAUCCUCUCAGGGAUCAUGGCCUGGUGUGUGUGAACCUCUGGAUCUCCACACAUCCAGAGCUGAAGAGGCAGCCGCUACUCUGCACGGAGCAGGUAGCAGCACAAGCCGACCUGCAGAGCUGUCCCUGAGCUGUAACCCCACUGUGUGUGUGAGUGUGUGUGUGCGUGGCCCAGUGCUAGUGAACCUCUGGAACUCCUUGCAUUUGGAGUCGAAGAGCCAGCCCGCUAGCUUUUGCUACGUGGCCCAAGGUGACAACGGGAUCAAGAGGCCAUCUGGAGCUGCUGCAUUGCUGUCCUGCCUCCGUGCCUGACCAGCCGAGAUGCCGCCUCACCGCCUGGCCUGGACUCCUUAUCAGCCUGCUGCCAGACCUGACCACAGAGCUGGACCAGGCCUCUCAGCUGGGGACCUCUCCAACUUCUCGCCUGGCCGUCAGCCUGGGAACUUUGAGCCUACUGCCCAGAGUGACAGCCUUCCCACGACUUCCUGCCUGUGAGUGACUGAUCCGAGAUCCGUCUCUGCCGAGACAUGGAGCCCUGGACCUUGAACACUGACACUUUUUCCUGACAGUGAUAGGAGCCUAGAUCACAGCAAACCAAUGUUGUGUAUUGAAUCUUUUGCUGUGCUUGUAUUGUUCAUUGUGAUAGUACUUAAGAUUAUUUCAAUAGUGUUUGUUGUGACUUAUGGUAUAAGAAUAUUGAUUUUCUGGCCAAUAAGUGAUAUUGUUAAGAUUAGCUAUAUAUGUUAAGAUAAGUAGUUAAUGUUAAGCUAAGUAAUUCAGUAAGUGUGUUAAGUUAGCUAUAAGUUAUGAUAAGUGAUAUUAUUGACAUUAUUGAUAGUGAUAUUAGUGAUGUUGAUAAGUGUGUUAAGUAAUUAUGUUAACUUAGGUGAUUAGGCCAAGUAGUUAAGCUAAGUGUUACGUUAAGCUAAGCAGCUAAGUUAAGUAGUUAAGUCACAUUAAGUAGUGGUGUUAAGUUUAGUGAUAAGUGUAAAGUUAGUAUAGAUUGAUAAGUAUAUUGGUACUGAUAAGUGUAUUGACCUCAAUGAGCAUGCUGAUGAGAGUGUGAUAAAACCCCCUGGUGUGUAAGCAAUAAAACCUCUCAUUGGAAAGACA